AGGGAAACCGAGUCUUAACUGGGCGUUAAGUUGCAGGGUAUAGACCCGAAACCCGGUGAUCUAGCCAUGGGCAGGUUGAAGGUUGGGUAACACUAACUGGAGGACCGAACCGACUAAUGUUGAAAAAUUAGCGGAUGACUUGUGGCUGGGGGUGAAAGGCCAAUCAAACCGGGAGAUAGCUGGUUCUCCCCGAAAGCUAUUUAGGUAGCGCCUCGUGAACUCAUCUUCGGGGGUAGAGCACUGUUUCGGCUAGGGGGUCAUCCCGACUUACCAACCCGAUGCAAACUGCGAAUACCGAAGAAUGUUAUCACGGGAGACACACGGCGGGUGCUAACGUCCGUCGUGAAGAGGGAAACAACCCAGACCGCCAGCUAAGGUCCCAAAGUCACAGUUAAGUGGGAAACGAUGUGGGAAGGCUCAGACAGCCAGGAUGUUGGCUUAGAAGCAGCCAUCAUUUAAAGAAAGCGUAAUAGCUCACUGGUCGAGUCGGCCUGCGCGGAAGAUGUAACGGGGCUAAACUGUGCACCGAAGCUGCGGCAGCGACGCUUAUGCGUUGUUGGGUAGGGGAGCGUUCUGUAAGCCUGCGAAGGUGUCCUGUGAGGGAUGCUGGAGGUAUCAGAAGUGCGAAUGCUGACAUAAGUAACGAUAAUGCGGGUGAAAAGCCCGCUCGCCGGAAGACCAAGGGUUCCUGUCCAACGUUAAUCGGGGCAGGGUGAGUCGACCCCUAAGGCGAGGCCGAAAGGCGUAGUCGAUGGGAAACGGGUUAAUAUUCCCGUACUUGGUGUUACUGCGAAGGGGGGACGGAGAAGGCUAUGUUGGCCGGGCGACGGUUGUCCCGGUUUAAGCGUGUAGGCUGGUUUUCCAGGCAAAUCCGGAAAAUCAAGGCU
Molecule: ribosomal RNA, 887 nt
Filed under: Salmonella enterica subsp. enterica serovar Kentucky
Lineage: Bacteria; Pseudomonadati; Pseudomonadota; Gammaproteobacteria; Enterobacterales; Enterobacteriaceae
Description: partial 23S ribosomal RNA
Rfam family: Bacterial large subunit ribosomal RNA
Source: RNAcentral